RNAcentral lists this ribosomal RNA (515 nucleotides) under uncultured bacterium. RNAcentral's name for it is "partial 16S ribosomal RNA". It matches the Rfam family "Bacterial small subunit ribosomal RNA", at positions 28 to 523 of the family's 1533-position model. The record is from RNAcentral.
GAUGAACGCUGGCGGCGUGCCUAAUACAUGCAAGUCGAGCGAAUGGAUUAAGAGCUUGCUCUUAUGAAGUUAGCGGCGGACGGGUGAGUAACACGUGGGUAACCUGCCCAUAAGACUGGGAUAACUCCGGGAAACCGGGGCUAAUACCGGAUAACAUUUUGAACCGCAUGGUUCGAAAUUGAAAGGCGGCUUCGGCUGUCACUUAUGGAUGGACCCGCGUCGCAUUAGCUAGUUGGUGAGGUAAAGGCUCACCAAGGCAACGAUGCGUAGCCGACCUGAGAGGGUGAUCGGCCACACUGGGACUGGGGCCCGGCCCAGACUCCUACGGGAGGCAGCAGUAGGGAAUCUUCCGCAAUGGACGAAAGUCUGACGGAGCAACGCCGCGUGAGUGAUGAAGGCUUUCGGGUCGUAAAACUCUGUUGUUAGGGAAGAACAAGUGCUAGUUGAAUAAGCUGGCACCUUGACGGUACCUAACCAGAAAGCCACGGCUAACUACGUGCCAGCAGCCGCAGUAA